This 87-nucleotide transfer RNA is filed under the name Rhodospirillales bacterium. RNAcentral describes it as "tRNA-Leu". It matches the Rfam family "tRNA". From Rfam's summary of the family: Transfer RNA (tRNA) molecules are approximately 80 nucleotides in length. The record is from RNAcentral. Lineage: Bacteria; Pseudomonadati; Pseudomonadota; Alphaproteobacteria; Rhodospirillales.
GCGGCCGUGGCGGAACCGGUAGACGCGCAGCGUUGAGGGCGCUGUGGGGGAAACCCCGUGGAAGUUCGACUCUUCUCGGCCGCACCA